RNAcentral lists this ribosomal RNA (429 nucleotides) under uncultured bacterium. RNAcentral's name for it is "bacterial SSU rRNA". It matches the Rfam family "Bacterial small subunit ribosomal RNA", at positions 355 to 775 of the family's 1533-position model. The record is from RNAcentral.
UGGGGAAUUUUGCGCAAUGGGGGAAACCCUGACGCAGCUACGCCGCGUGAGUGAUGAGGGCCUUCGGGUCGUAAAGCUCUGUCAGAGGGGAAGAAAUGCAGAAAUGCUAAUAUCAUCUUUACUUAACAAUACCCUCAAAAAAAGCACCAACUAACUCCGUGCCAGCAGCCGCGGUAAUACGGAGGGUGCGAGCGUUGUUCGGAAUUAUUGGGCGUAAAGCGCGUGUAGGCGGUUUGGUAAGUCUGAUGUGAAAGCCCCGGGCUCAACCUGGGAAGUGCAUUGGAAACUGUCAGACUUGAAUACGGGAGAGGGUAGUGGAAUUCCUAGUGUAGGAGUGAAAUCCGUAGAUAUUAGGAGGAACACCGGUGGCGAAGGCGGCUACCUGGACCGAUAUUGACGCUGAGACGCGAAAGCGUGGGGAGCAAACAG